Molecule: unclassified non-coding RNA, 1347 nt
Filed under: Hevea brasiliensis (rubber tree)
Lineage: Eukaryota; Viridiplantae; Streptophyta; Magnoliopsida; Malpighiales; Euphorbiaceae
Source: RNAcentral
GUCAAUUGUCCAGUCAUUGCGUACCUGUAGAGCAGUUAGAAAAAUACACAACAGUUAUAUUGCUACAAAACAAAUGAUACUUGUAAUGAUCUGAGAAGAUAAGAAAUAAAGAUGUUAAUAAGUUGACAAUUUCAAUAUAUAUGGGUGCAUAUACAGAAGAAAAUAACUUCCAAUGGAUGGAAUUACUAGAAUCUUAUACAACAGAGCAGAAGUUUCACAGCUUUCAAAAAUCCUUCCCAGAGAUCACAAGCAUCAUGUCACACCCAUUUCCCAUAAAAGGACAAAUAAAAUCAUAAAAAAAAAGGUAGAAAGAGAAUAUAGUGGCAAAAUGGAGAGGUGCAUAUUUUUAAGAAAGCACAAGUUUCAAUAAGAAGUGCCAGUGUGAAUAAACAAAGUAACUGUACACAAAAGAGCAGUUAAGGGAUCAAAGUAAUUCACAGAAAAUCCUCCUACAAACUACAUUCCAAAUCCAAACACAUGUCAAAUGAAGAAAGUUGAAUCUUUAAUAAUAUACUAUUUCUUCCAAUGAGCCAUUACAAGAAAAUUGUAGGAACUGCAUUCUUCAACCAGGUCCUCAUACUUAAAACAAGUGGACUUCAGACACUAAUUGCCAACUAAUAAAGGUUUAGGAAAACAGCUGAAGACUUAAAAAUUAAAACACGAAGGUUUCAAAUACACCCUAAAAAUCAAUGUAAACGCUGUAUACAGCACAAAAUUGAACUUCCAAUUCCGGAAAUUUGAACUAGGUAUUAUAUAAAUGCUUAUCUUCUAUAUUCAAUAUGAAAUCCAAUAGAUAAUAACUUAAGUCCGAAUGCAAGCACAUAAAACGCCAUAAAAGCAGAAUUGGGAUUAUUUUCUGGAACAAUUCUACUGAAAAUUGGGAUACUUCACACUCAAGGACAUGACACUUGCCACUCAAGUUCAAAACUCAGAAGCAUUUUCAAGAAAUUUACAUACAAUGGCUAUUUUCAUGAUUAAUCACUUUCUAUAGCUAACAUGAGAACUCAGAACAGAUUGGCUUAAAAAUUUUGAUGUUAAAAUUACAAAUUCAACAAUACACACACUUAAGAGUAAGACCACGUCUGCUAUAAUUCUGGACACUUUCCAUGUCCAAACAUGACUUUGAAUCCUAGUUCUCUGUUCAUUAAAAUAUUAACUAACUGAUGCAACUUAUCUCAAUCAAGUUGAUGAUAAAAUUUAUCUUGCCCAUGUAGUUAAAGACAACAAAAUCAAUUCAUGUAAAAGACACUCAUAAACUCAAUUUCCAUAACCAUGUUUUUUCUGCAAUUUUGCAACACAUAGUAACCAGUUGGCGUAUGUGUAUAUAUGCACAAUUGCACAUACAUA